Molecule: long non-coding RNA, 2507 nt
Filed under: Homo sapiens (human)
Lineage: Eukaryota; Metazoa; Chordata; Mammalia; Primates; Hominidae
Description: HSALNT0296966
Source: RNAcentral
AUGUGUGUGUGUGUGGGUGUGUGUGCACGUGUAUGUGUGUAUUUCAAGCCUCCUCAGUGAUUCUUCUUAUGCAUUUGCAGAGUGGGACCUGCUGUCCCAGGUCAUCUCAGCCAGUCAGUCAAUGUUGCUCAAAACUCUGGGGGGUGCUCUCCCCUGAGGGACUCUGAGUCCUUGUGGAAAGAGCUGUGGCAAGUCCAAAAGGGCUGUGUGUGAGGGUCUGGUGGGUGGGGGGGGGGCAGGCAGCCCUGGGGGGAACAUAUAUGUGGACAAGAUGUUUUGUGCCAAAUUGUAACACACCCAAGAAGACUGAAUAGAGCCUCAUCCAGGGCAAAGAUGAUGAGUGAGAUCUGAUCCGAAAGCAAUUGUUGAGGUCCAAUCCCACAUGCAGCAUACUAAAGCUGUGGGACUUCAGAGGAAGAGACAGUCUGGGACUUUGGAUUAGUAACAUGAUGUGAUCGGAGGAAGUUAAAACUUUGUCUCCUUCCCAUGUCAUCUACAUAUGAAAACUAGAGACAAGGACACAGAAAUAGGAGAUGAAGCAGAUUUGAAAAGCCACCAGAGCUCUGAGAGGAGUGGUGCCCAUUCCCUGUCACACCGUCACCGUUCUCACCUGUGGCUGACUGCAGCACCCAAAGCUCAACCAGCUGCAGUCUAUCACCAACAUGAAGUUGCUCCUAGAGCACUCUUUGUUCCUUUAAAAAUGAUAAAAUAGUACAAGCACGCAGGAGUAUAGAGAAUAUUGUCCCUAUGUCUCCAUAUUUUCUUCAGCUGAUGUUUUAAAAGACUAGAACAUUGUUAACCCUCACCUGUGCCAUUUCCUGCCUUCUUCCUGCUCUUCUGAAAUUGGUAUUUAUGUUUUCCAUGUAUGUUUUUAUACUUUUACUAUACAUGUAAGUAUCCACACAUAAUAGAUAUGGUUUUGCAAGCUUUCAAACUUUAUAUAAAUGGUGUCAUACUGUAUCCUUUGUGUGUUUUUCAUUCACUGUUGUAUUUCUGAGGUUUAUCCCUAUUGAUACAAGAUCAACUUCAUUAUUAUUUAUUUAUUCAUUCUUUUUCUGAAGGGUGCUAAGAUUGUGUCCCAUUUUUUACUGUUAGAAAUAAUGCUAUAACAUUAUUUACAAUGUAUGUUCUGUAGCCAUGUCCUUAAACACAGGUGUUCCACUCUCUGUGAUCAUCGCGUCUCUCAGACCUGCUCCUCACCUGGCCUAGGCUCUGCUCUGGGGUCACCCUUCCUCAGCAUGGCAACUUGGCUCUUGAAGACCAAGUUGCACUUGAAGACCAGGUCUUACUCACCAGAAUUCUCCCUGGAUCAUCCUUGUCAGGGAUUCCUACCCCACCUUGCCACCCACACCCGGCCCCUCCUAAAGGGAAUGUUCUUUGGCAGGAACGAAGGGCAUAUGUUAGGUCAUACGGUGAGGAGACUUCAUGUGAGUGCUCAAUAUUAACUGGAACUCAGAGGAGGCUUGGUUCCCAGUGGGAAGGAGAAAUGGGAGAGUUUUCUUGGCGAAGGGACAGCAAGAGCCAGCAUAGGCAAAGGAACGUGGUAGUGUCAGGAGAGGACCACGUAAAGAGCUGGCCAGCAGAUGGAAGCUGAGUGCUGCUGGAGAGUAGGAGGCUGGAUUAGUAACGUGAUGUGAACUGAGGAAGUUAAAGGUUUGUGUCCUCCAUCAGAUUACUGCAUUUCAGCUUUGUAGAAGGAAGUGGCAGGUUGGGCAGUGCCAGUGGCAGGGAUGAUGGUGGCCUGGAGACCCUUGAGGGGCAGAAACAGUGGCUUACUCCUGUGCUUCUGUGGUCUGUUUCCUCACUUUGCCCCAUCCAUCAAGUGUUGAGGCUCGGUGGAGUUGAGCUUCCUUUUCCCUCCAUCACUCACAUCCCACUUCCCAUCACCUGCUUCCAAGCAAGAGAACUCCAGGUUACUGGCCUCCGGCAGCAGUCCAGCUGUUACCAGUAAACUGGAAGCUGACGUCACUAACAAGCAUUCAGGGAGCACCAAGAAGCAGACCAGAGGUCUCCUAAGCUUGACUCCUCUUCGGCAUGAGACUAAGGAAGCUCCCCAAGUUCCAGUCAGAGGUCUGAAUUUGUGAAUUUGCUGAGGCUGAUAGGACAGUGUGGGCUGUCCCUGAAAGUUGGAGGAGGUGACAACAAGGUUGGGGGCCUUCCAUAUGGGUGCCUGCUGUACCACAUAUCCAGUAAAAACAGAACAUUUACGAAUGCUGGAAAAAGGUCUCGUUUGUAAUGAGCAGUGGAGUGUGACAGCCUCUGACUGUUUCUUUGACCAUAUAUAGGAAUGAUCACCGUGAUAAUAACAGCAGUGACAACAAUCCCCGGAUAUUGGGCUUUUCAUUUCCAAGAGAGAGUAAGUAUUAACUAAACAGCUUCGAAACCCCCAUGAAGUGUUUAUUAUACCCGAAUCCCCAUUUCACCAACAGUAAGGAGGAUAUUUUAGAAGCCUUUUUUUUUUUUUUUUUGAGUCAGAGUCUCGCUCUGUUGCUCAGGCUGGAGUGCAG